This 308-nucleotide small nuclear RNA is filed under the name Propithecus coquereli (Coquerel's sifaka). Its description in RNAcentral is "7SK RNA (ENSPCOG00000004350.1)". It matches the Rfam family "7SK RNA". From Rfam's summary of the family: 7SK was discovered as an abundant small nuclear RNA in the mid-70s but a possible function has only recently been suggested. Two independent studies have found that 7SK RNA binds the CDK9/cyclin T complex (known as elongation factor P-TEFb). P-TEFb activates transcription by phosphorylating the C-terminal domain of RNA polymerase II. The record is from RNAcentral. Lineage: Eukaryota; Metazoa; Chordata; Mammalia; Primates; Indriidae.
GGAUGUGAGGGCGAUCUGGCUACGACAUCUGUCACCCCACUGAUUGCCAGGGUUGAUUCGGCUGAUCUGGUUGGCUGGGCUGGUGUCCCCUUCCUCCUCGCCGCUCCAUGUGCGUCCCUCCUGAAGCUGCGCGCUCGGUUGAAGAGGAUUACCUUCCCCGAUAGAGGAGGACUGUUCUUCUGUCAAGGGUAUACAAGUUGCUAUGCUCCCCUGCUAGAAUCUCCAAACAAGCUCUCAAAAUAUUACAGGAGUACAAAUGUUUUUGGUUUCAUGGAUUGCUUUUGUAAUGCUUUAGUCAGGAUUAUAAG